AAUAGAUACCCCGGUAGUCCACGCCGUAAACGAUGAGUGCUAAGUGUUAGAGGGUUUCCGCCCUUUAGUGCUGCAGCAAACGCAUUAAGCACUCCGCCUGGGGAGUACGGUCGCAAGACUGAAACUCAAAGGAAUUGACGGGGGCCCGCACAAGCGGUGGAGCAUGUGAUUUAAUUCGAAGCAACGCGAAGAACCUUACCAGGUCUUGACAUCCUUCGCUACUUCUAGAGAUAGAAGGUUCCCCUUCGGGGGACGAAGUGACAGGUGGUGCAUGGUUGUCGUCAGCUCGUGUCGUGAGAUGUUGGGUUAAGUCCCGCAACGAGCGCAACCCUUGAUCUUAGUUGCCAGCAUUCAGUUGGGCACUCUAAGGUGACUGCCGGUGACAAACCGGAGGAAGGUGGGGAUGACGUCAAAUCAUCAUGCCCCUUAUGACCUGGGCUACACACGUGCUACAAUGGAUGGUACAAAGGGCUGCAAGACCGCGAGGUCAAGCCAAUCCCAUAAAACCAUUCUCAGUUCGGAUUGCAGG
This 529-nucleotide ribosomal RNA is filed under the name uncultured bacterium. Its description in RNAcentral is "bacterial SSU rRNA". It matches the Rfam family "Bacterial small subunit ribosomal RNA", at positions 777 to 1304 of the family's 1533-position model. The record is from RNAcentral.